GGACAUAAAAAUAAAAAGAAGGGGGAGAAGAUGCCCUCCACACUCAUCAUCACCUCUAGGACUUUGCAGAGGUGGCAAUGUUGAUGAAAAUAAUCCACGACCAAUCUAUAAAUGACAAUUUGGGUGAGUUUAUUCUGAGCUAAAAUGUGAAGACCAUGGCCCGGGGCCUUUUUUCCUGAAGGAAGAAAGGGCACGGAAGAAGUGGGGUGUGCAGCGUGGUCAUAUACCCCCAAAGAGGAUGUUUCACACAGGAUUGAAAUGUCCCUUUUACAAUAGUCAUAAGACUGCUCUGUCGGCACAGCGAUUGAUGGACACAGCAGGGAGGUCUGCUCUCUCGGCAGACGCAGCAUGGUGGCAGGUCUGUUGUCUCGAGCUGGGUGGUCACAGGUGAGCUGGGUGGUCAAAGACUUUGGCUUCUGCUGGAGAUUGAUGUCUGUGCAUGAAGCUCAUGCCCAAAGAGAAAAGGGGCUGCGACAUGUUGGAGAACUGGUCCCAAUUCUUCACCCUUCUAUGUAUCCACACGCUAGCCAUGGCCUCCUUGUGGAUGGUGUAUACUUCUGCCCUGGCCUGGGACUUGUCCAUGUGAUUUGCUUCAGCCAAUGGCAUAUGAGUGGAAGUGGCAAUAUGCCAAUUCUGAGCCUAGAUCUACGAGACUUUGCCUGUUUUGGCUUGCUCUGUUAUGGAACAUUCCCCAGUUAGUCUGCUGGAAGGGAAAGGGCAACAGAAGUGCGAACCCACAGUGUGGACUAGAGCCAUUCUAGCUGCCGCAGCCUGAAUCAACCAGCCCACACACGACCAAGCCCAGCUGAGAUCAGCAGAGCCUGCCCAGGCGUCCUGCAGUUGUAUGAGAUAAAUAAUACGCACUGUUUUAAGCCACUUUGAUUCUCUGGUUCUUUGUUAUGCAGCAAUAGCUAAUCAAGACAAGCAGUUUCUAUCUCCCAGCUCUAGUUUGAAAAGUUCCAGGGAAGAGUGAUCUGACCUCACUUGUUUCAAAGGCCCAAAUCUGUCACCAGCCACUCAGAUAUCUUAAGAACAGGGUAACGGUGCUGGUUGUCACACAAAAGUGAGAACUUUCUACUCAGUAAUACACCUGUAUUUUUGUGUGUGUCGAAUUUAAAAUAUUCCAGUCAUCAAUCAUUUAAAACUAACAUAAAAAUUGAGAUUAGUUAAUACAGUAAAUAAUAAAACUAUGUGUAAUUAAAACUUCAUUAUGGCCAGAGAGCAUAGAAAAAGAAGAAGGAAAAGAAGAAGAUGCAAAACACAAUAUUUGCCCAAAAUCCAAGAAGGAGCAAUAUUUCCUUAGAUAAAAACAAUUAAAAAGUAUAUUUGAUAAUAAACAUAUUUUAAAAUCUAAGUAAGAAAGAAAUAAAAUUUUUGAAAAUAUCAUUUUACCCCAACUGAGAAAAAUAGAAACUGUUUUUCCCAGGGAAGUAAAGAAUAUUGUCUCUCAAUUCACAGGUAAAAAGGCUGCAUUUAAUAUCUUCUCUUUGCCAUCUGGCUACAAGCAUCAGCUCCUAGCAAGGGAUUAGCAUAAUCUGCUCUGGUGCCAAACGCAGAGGCCUAAGGUGGGAGGAAGAUAUAGAAGGAAUCUAGCUAGAAAAGUGAGGGAAAAGAGAAAGAAAUAGUAGGCUGGGAGCAGAGA
Equus caballus (horse) is the source of this 1642-nucleotide long non-coding RNA. The record is from Ensembl. NCBI's taxonomy places the organism in Eukaryota, Metazoa, Chordata, Mammalia, Perissodactyla, Equidae.